UGCCAGCCGCCGCGGUAAUACGGAGGGGGCGAGCGUUGUUCGGAAUUACUGGGCGUAAAGCGCACGUAGGCGGAUUGGUCAGUUGGGGGUGAAAUCCCGAGGCUUAACCUCGGAACUGCCCUCAAUACUGCCAAUCUAGAGAUCGGAAGAGGUAAGUGGAAUUCCUAGUGUAGAGGUGAAAUUCGUAGAUAUUCGGUGGAACACCAGUGGCGAAGGCGACUAACUGGACUGAUACUGACGCUGAGGUGCGAAAGUGUGGGGAGCAAACAGGAUUAGAUA
This 279-nucleotide ribosomal RNA is filed under the name uncultured bacterium. RNAcentral describes it as "partial 16S ribosomal RNA". It matches the Rfam family "Bacterial small subunit ribosomal RNA", at positions 506 to 784 of the family's 1533-position model. The record is from RNAcentral.